UCUGUGAGAAUGUUCAAGUCCUUGUCCACUGAAGCCAGGCUCAGGAGUUGUUGGGAGCAUCUAUCAGCACCUGUGAGAUAUGGCUUCUCCCUGGACAAAAUGGGAGAAGGUCAUCAGGCCAAUCUUCUGUGCUUCUAUGCAGCAGAAGCCCCAUGGGACUGAGGAUGAAGAGCCUUUGACCUAGGACAAGAGCCCCCACCUCAUCCCGGGCAGGAUGUCUCUUGAGCAAUAGGCAGUGAGGCAAGACUGAGUGGCUGGACCUGGAAUGCCAAGGACAUAAGCUGAGAAGUGCCACAAUUUUACAUCUGCAAUUUGGAGACCAAGGGGAUAUGGUGGUUUAAAUCUAAAGCCUGAGAAUCAGGAGAGUGAAUCACGUACCAGGCACGGUGUCUCAGCAAGAAGAAAGUAACGCAGGUGCAGAGUCAGUCAAUGUAGAGAACGUGAAGGCUCGUGCUGGACGUGUAAAGCAUUCUACUUAUGGAAACUCAAGAUUAUUUGGUCCAUUUUGGCAUUUAUUCACUUGAGAAACCAUCCUGAACUGGAUCUGC
Long non-coding RNA from Octodon degus (degu), 548 nucleotides. RefSeq lists it as uncharacterized. Lineage: Eukaryota; Metazoa; Chordata; Mammalia; Rodentia; Octodontidae. The record is from RefSeq and is a predicted model, not a curated record. The transcript is spliced from 5 exons.